UAAAAUCAAUCCUAUCGCAAUCUGAAACUACGAAAGGGGAAAAAGAAAAGAACUUGCAAGAUAUCUGACAACGAGCAACGAUUUCAAAGUGUUGGGCCAAGACGUCGACGACCCACUGGCAACCUAGCACGCUAGAGACCUGGCUCAGCGAGCCAAUGUAGGCGGUGGAUGUGUCGGCGACGGCAGGCUUGGUGAAAGGAGACGUGACGGGCUUAGCGGAGCAUACGACAAGGUGCAUGAGAGAGGAGAGUGAAAGAGGGGACCUCCCCGGAGAAGAGGUUGUUGGAAAGGUCGAGGAUUACCCUCUUGGUGUCACUGAAAUCAUUUUGAAAAGGUUAAAACCAUUUAGGCGUCCCUAUUUUCGUAAGGUAUUCCCAUUUUGGUCUCCUUCUUUUAAAACUUCUCAAUUGGGUCCUUAUAACUGGUAAUUUCAAACAAAUUAGUCCCUACCGUUAAAAAUCGUUAACGGUGUUAAUUUUCUGCUAAGGUGGUUCGAUGAUGUGUUAAAUUAGAUGAUACGUGGCAUGCCGUUGUUGACCAGCUUUGACCAGAGAGGCAGCGUCCAAUGAUAUGUCGCCACGUGGCAACCCUCUUUCUCACCCAAUUAGGGCUUUCUGAUGUGCAGAGAUGAGAAAGGCUUAUGCUUCUGCGCCGUGAAGUGAUUUUUGGUGAUGAAGACUGGAAUCUUGUGAGAACCUGGUGGCGCGAUUGGACUUGGUUUUUU
RNAcentral lists this long non-coding RNA (724 nucleotides) under Vigna radiata. RNAcentral's name for it is "long non-coding RNA (VRAD_LNC007542)". Lineage: Eukaryota; Viridiplantae; Streptophyta; Magnoliopsida; Fabales; Fabaceae. The record is from RNAcentral.